RNAcentral lists this ribosomal RNA (642 nucleotides) under uncultured bacterium. Its description in RNAcentral is "bacterial SSU rRNA". It matches the Rfam family "Bacterial small subunit ribosomal RNA", at positions 202 to 842 of the family's 1533-position model. The record is from RNAcentral.
GAAAGGCUUCGGCCGGACAGGGAUGGGCAUGCGGCGCAUUAGGCAGUAGGCGGGGUAACGGCCCACCUAACCGACGAUGCGUAGGGGUUCUGAGAGGAAGGUCCCCCACACUGGUACUGAGACACGGACCAGACUCCUACGGGAGGCAGCAGUGAGGAAUAUUGGUCAAUGGUCGGGAGACUGAACCAGCCAAGCCGCGUGAGGGAGGAAGGUACAGAGUAUCGUAAACCUCUUUUGUCAGGGAACAAAGACUGGGACGCGUCCCCGGAUGAGUGUACCUGAAGAAAAAGCAUCGGCUAACUCCGUGCCAGCAGCCGCGGUAAUACGGAGGAUGCGAGCGUUAUCCGGAUUUAUUGGGCUUAAAGGGUGCGCAGGCGGUCUGUUAAGUCAGCGGUCAAAGCCCGGGGCUCAACCCCGGCCCGCCGUUGAAACUGGCAGUCUCGAGUUGGAGAGAAGUAUGCGGAAUGCGCGGUGUAGCGGUGAAAUGCAUAGAUAUCGCGCAGAACUCCGAUUGCGAAGGCAGCAUGCCGGCUCCACACUGACGCUGAGGCACGAAAGCGUGGGUAUCGAACAGGAUUAGAUACCCUGGUAGUCCACGCAGUAAACGAUGAAUGCUGGCUGUCCGGGGGGACUGACCCCUGG